UAGGGAAUCUUCCACAAUGGCGCAAGCCUGAUGGAGCAACGCCCGCGUGAGUGAAGAAGGUCUUCGGAUCGUAGAACUCUGUUGUUAGAGAAGAACAUGCAGGAGAGUAACUGUUCUUGUAUUGACGGUAUCUAACCAGAAAGCCACGGCUAACUACGUGCCCG
RNAcentral lists this ribosomal RNA (164 nucleotides) under uncultured bacterium. Its description in RNAcentral is "partial 16S rRNA". It matches the Rfam family "Bacterial small subunit ribosomal RNA", at positions 355 to 511 of the family's 1533-position model. The record is from RNAcentral.